GACGGAGGAUGCAAGUGUUAUCCGGAAUCACUGGGCGUAAAGCGUCUGUAGGUGGCUUAGUAAGUCUAUUGUUAAAGCUUAAGGCUUAACCUUAAAACAGCAACGGAAACUACUAGGCUUGAGUAUGGUAGAGGUAAAAGGAAUUUCCAGUGGAGCGGUGAAAUGCGUAGAUAUUGGAAAGAACACCGAUGGCGAAGGCAUUUUACUGGGCUAUAACUGACACUCAGAGACGAAAGCUAGGGUAGCAAAUGGG
This 253-nucleotide ribosomal RNA is filed under the name uncultured bacterium. RNAcentral describes it as "partial 16S ribosomal RNA". It matches the Rfam family "Bacterial small subunit ribosomal RNA", at positions 524 to 776 of the family's 1533-position model. The record is from RNAcentral.